This 251-nucleotide ribosomal RNA is filed under the name uncultured Tulasnellaceae. RNAcentral's name for it is "partial large subunit ribosomal RNA". It matches the Rfam family "Eukaryotic large subunit ribosomal RNA", at positions 72 to 319 of the family's 3401-position model. The record is from RNAcentral. Lineage: Eukaryota; Fungi; Basidiomycota; Agaricomycetes; Cantharellales; Tulasnellaceae.
GGAUUCCCCUAGUAACGGCGAGUGAAGCGGGAAGAGCUCAAAUUUUAAAUCUGGCGUCCUCGGGCGUCCGAGUUGUAAUCUAGAGAAGCGUUUUCGUGUCGGCCCCACCAUAAGUUACCUCGAACGGUGCAUCAUAGAGGGUGAGAAUCCCGUAUGUUGGUGGAUGCUCCGGCGCAUGUGAUGCGCUCUCGACGAGUCGAGUUGUUUGGGAAUGCAGCUCAAAACGGGAGGUAAAUUCCUUCUAAAGCUAA